This 544-nucleotide ribosomal RNA is filed under the name uncultured Glomeromycotina. RNAcentral's name for it is "SSU rRNA". It matches the Rfam family "Eukaryotic small subunit ribosomal RNA", at positions 548 to 1098 of the family's 1831-position model. The record is from RNAcentral. Lineage: Eukaryota; Fungi; Glomeromycota.
UUGGAGGGCAAGUCUGGUGCCAGCAGCCGCGGUAAUUCCAGCUCCAAUAGCGUAUAUUAAAGUUGUUGCAGUUAAAGAGCUCGUAGUUGAAUUUCGGGGUUCUACCGUUGGUCGGGCUUUGUCUGUACUGGUGUGUAGAAUUUCUACCUUCUGGGGAACCAUCAUGCUAUUAAUUUAGCGUGGUGGGAAACCAGGACCUUUACCUUGAAAAAAUUAGUGUGUUCAAAGCAGGCUUAUGUCUGAAUACAUUAGCGUGGAAUAAUAGAAUAGGACGGUGGUCCUGUUUUGUUGGUUUCUGAAUCACCGUAAUGAUUAAUAGGGAUAGUUGGGGGCAUUAGUAUUCAAUUGUCAGAGGUGAAAUUCUUGGAUUUAUUGAAGACUAACUUCUGCGAAAGCAUUUGCCAAGGAUGUUUUCAUUAAUCAAGAACGAAAGUUAGGGGAUCGAAGACGAUCAGAUACCGUCGUAGUCUUAACCAUAAACUAUGCCGACUAGGGAUCGGACGAUGUUAAUUUUUCUUGACUCGUUCGGCGCCUUACGGGAAAC